CACACAUACACUUGAAGCACACACAUACACAUUCUGCACACACUCGUACAUCUCCCUGCUUGUCCAGCUACAAUCUAAAAGCAGAGAGAGAGAGCGAGACAUAAAGCCCUUAAAUUGAAUUGAAUUGAAUUGUAGAGAGUGAGAGAGAGAAAUGUAGAGAGAGAGAUAUGUAGAGAGAGAGAUAUGUAGAGAGAGAGAGAAAGAUGUAGAGAGAGAGAUGUAGAGAGAGAGAUGUAGAGUGAGAGAUGUGUAGAGAGAGAUGUAGAGAGAGAGAUGUAGAGAGAGAUAUGUAGAGAGAUAUGUAGAGAGAGAUAUGUAGAGAGAGAGAUGUAGAGAGAGAUGUAAGAGAGAGAUGUAGAGAGAGAGAGAUGUAUGUAGAGAGAGAGAGAGAUGUAGAGAGAAUGUAGAGAGAGAGAGAGAGAUAUGUAAGAGAGAGAUGUAGAGAGGGAGAUGUAGAGAGAGAGGUGUAGAGAGAGAUGUAUAUGUAGAGAGGGAGAUGUAGAGAGGGAGAUGUAGAGAGAGAGAUGUAAGAGAGAUAUAUAUGUAGAGAGUGAGAGAUGUAGAGAGGGAGAUGUAGAGAGAGUCUACAAGUCUAAAGUAUGGAGGGAGGGAUAGAGGGAGAGGAGGGAGGGAUAGAGGGAGAGUAGGGAGGGAUAGAGGGAGAGUAGGGAGGGAUAGAGGGAGGGAGGGAUAGAGGGAGAGUAUGGAGGGAUAGAAGGAGAGUAUGGAGGGAGGGAUAGAGG
RNAcentral lists this long non-coding RNA (743 nucleotides) under Salmo salar (Atlantic salmon). RNAcentral describes it as "lncRNA (ENSSSAG00000118217.1)". The record is from RNAcentral. Lineage: Eukaryota; Metazoa; Chordata; Actinopteri; Salmoniformes; Salmonidae.